Non-coding RNA from Odocoileus virginianus texanus, 587 nucleotides. Lineage: Eukaryota; Metazoa; Chordata; Mammalia; Artiodactyla; Cervidae. The record is from RefSeq and is a predicted model, not a curated record.
GCCCCCACCCCCCAUCUCACCCCCCAACUCACUCACAGGUUACAGAGGGAUGUGCUUCCGUUUCCUUUUUUUCCCUCCCCUUUGGUCUCAGGUGUGCUCUCAGGGUCCUCUUCUACAAGAUACCCUCAGGACAGCCAUCAUUAUCAGUACCCCCAUCAUAUGCUUUCUAAACUAACCAUCUAAAGUUCCUUCCAUUAUCUACUGUAACAUCUGUCAUGACGAACCUGCUCCUGGUCUGUCCCAUCUUUGAAAGACUUUGCUGAGGGAUGUGCUCUGGUACUUUUAACUCCAGGGACUUUAAAGCACUUGACACCUUGGUAGCCCUUCCCUUCGCCAGAGGAUCUUCCCACUCCAAGGAUCGAACCUCUGUCUCCUGCAUCUCAGGUGGAUUCUUCACCAUCUGAGCCACCAGGGAAACCCAUAACACACUAUACCAACUCUUCAUUAUGUUUAUUAUUUAACUGCCUCCCCUCUCUAGAAUGUCAGACAUCAGGGCAAGAAUCUUUGUUUUGUUCACAUGUGACUACAACAGUGUCUGAUGUCUGAUACAUGAGAAACACUCAAUAAAUAAUUGUUGAGUGAAAGAA